UUGGAGGGCAAGUCUGGUGCCUGCAGCCGCGGUAAUUCCAGCUCCAAUAGCGUAUAUUAAAGUUGUUGCAGUUAAAAAGCUCGUAGUUGAAUUUCGGAAUCAAUAUGUUGGUCGUGCCAUUGGUACGUACUGGCAUUAUUGGUUUCUACCUUCUGAAGAACCUCGAUGUCAUUAAUUUGGUGUCUUGGGGAAUCAGGACUGUUACUUUGAAAAAAUUAGAGUGUUUAAAGCAGGCUCGCGCUUGAAUACAUUAGCAUGGAAUAA
This 264-nucleotide ribosomal RNA is filed under the name uncultured Glomus. RNAcentral's name for it is "partial 18S ribosomal RNA". It matches the Rfam family "Eukaryotic small subunit ribosomal RNA", at positions 548 to 817 of the family's 1831-position model. The record is from RNAcentral. Lineage: Eukaryota; Fungi; Glomeromycota; Glomeromycetes; Glomerales; Glomeraceae.